RNAcentral lists this ribosomal RNA (253 nucleotides) under uncultured bacterium. RNAcentral describes it as "partial 16S ribosomal RNA". It matches the Rfam family "Bacterial small subunit ribosomal RNA", at positions 524 to 776 of the family's 1533-position model. The record is from RNAcentral.
UACAGAGGCCACGAGCGUUAGGCGGAAUCACUGGGCUUAAAGCGUGUGUAGGUGGAUGACUAAGUACCUUGUGAAAUCCCACGGCUCAACCGUGGAACUGCUUGGUAUACUGGUUGUCUUGAGGCACUCAGGGGCGAGCGGAACAGAUGGUGGAGCGGUGAAAUGCGUAGAUAUCAUCUGGAACGCCAAUGGUGAAGACAGCUCGCUGGGGGUGUACUGACACUGAGACACGAAAGCCAGGGGAGCAAACGGG